AACGAACGCUGGCGGCAUGCCUAACACAUGCAAGUCGAACGAGACCUUCGGGUCUAUUGGCGCACGGGUUCGUAACGCGUGGGAACCUUCCCUUAGGUUCGGCAUAACUCCCCGACAGGGGUGCUAAUACCGGAUCAUGUCUUCGGCCCAAAGAUUUAUCGCCUUUGGAUGGGCCCGCGUUGGAUUAGCUAGUUGGUAGGGUAAAAGCCUACCAAGGCGACGAUCCAUAGCUGGUCUGAGAGGAUGAUCAGCCACACUGGGACGGAGACACGGCCCAGACUCCUACGGGAGGAAGCAGUGGGGAAUAGUGGACAAUGGGCGAAAGCCUGAUCCAGCAAUGCCGCGUGAGUGAUGAAGGCCUUAGGGUUGUAAAGCUCUUUUACCCGGGAUGAUAAUGACAGUACCGGGAGAAUAAGCUCCGGCUAACUCCGUG
This 433-nucleotide ribosomal RNA is filed under the name uncultured bacterium. RNAcentral describes it as "partial 16S ribosomal RNA". It matches the Rfam family "Bacterial small subunit ribosomal RNA", at positions 29 to 507 of the family's 1533-position model. The record is from RNAcentral.